ACUACUACCAACUUUUUUCGCCAACCUGGAGAAAAUUUUGGAAAUUUGCAAUAAAUUGUUGUCACGUUGCUUUUGGACGAGAACAAUAUAGUUGUAUGUACUUUGGAGAGGAAGACCCCCCGAAACUCCCUUUCGUUCUGGCGUAUAAAAAACACAUUGCUCAUGUAAUUCAGAGAUGCCCAAAAGAUCGUCUUCUAAUUUACAACUGCAAAAGUGGACGGAAACCUCUGUGUAAAUUUCUUGGAAAGGACGUACCAAGAAAGGAUUUUCCCUGGAUAAACAAAAACUGUGAAUUGGCAAAAAUGCUUUGGGAAAUGCCAAUGUUCAAGAACGCUAAAAAAGCAAUGUUAACAAAUGCUACUCUGUUAUUUGCUGGUAUUAUAUUCGCUGGAUAUUACUUUGUAAAAUAAGGUUGGAAUUAAAUAAGCUGCAUGUGCUAUUAA
Molecule: non-coding RNA, 443 nt
Organism: Styela clava
Lineage: Eukaryota; Metazoa; Chordata; Ascidiacea; Stolidobranchia; Styelidae
Source: RefSeq, a predicted model, not a curated record